AGAGACUUAGGAUAAUAAGACCAAGAGCCUUCAAAGCCCUAAGUAAGGGUGAAAACCCCUUAGUCCCUG
Molecule: transfer RNA, 69 nt
Filed under: Cynoglossus abbreviatus (three-lined tongue sole)
Lineage: Eukaryota; Metazoa; Chordata; Actinopteri; Pleuronectiformes; Cynoglossidae
Description: tRNA-Trp
Rfam family: tRNA
About the family: Transfer RNA (tRNA) molecules are approximately 80 nucleotides in length. Their secondary structure includes four short double-helical elements and three loops (D, anti-codon, and T loops).
Source: RNAcentral